GUGCGCAGAAGUAGUUGUUGGAAAUCGGCCGUUGGGAUGCUAAGCUUGGAUACCUGAGUAAUAACGGACAACAGAUAAAGCUCCGCAUCCUUGCGCCGCGUGCUUCGGUCCGUGGUUUGCGUGCAGACGUUUGACCUGUAUGGUGACCCUCGCGAUUUGCGAAUGUGCUGAGGAUCUGGAAUACUGAAGUGGAAGGCACCUCUUGUUUUGGGGAGCAUGUAUAUUUCCCUCCUGUGACGUACUGCUUCCACAGAGAGGUGCAAACGUGCAAACGCUCAGCGACCGCAGCGCUCCUGCCCCUCCCCCACCGUAACUCCGGGGUCGCGGAUCUGCCCGCCCCGCUCUCCCGAAGCUGUUCGGGCAGUGUCCGAACGGCUUCGGAGGGGCGAGAAGCCGGCAUCUGAGCGGCCUCUCUGGAAUACCAGCAGCCUGACGCACGCGUGCUGUCGGCGGAGGGACGCUGGGACAGCUGCUCCCGCACACGGCUCGCGGUCUCGGCGCCGCGGAGAUGCCCGGCCAGGGUCCAGGGUCCGACUGGACGGAGCGUAGCUCUUCUGCAGAGCCGCCCGCAGUGGCCGGGACCGAGGGUGGCGGCGGCGGAUCAGCUGGAUACUCUUGUUACCAGAAUUCCAAAGGUUCUGAUAGAAUCAAAGAUGGAUACAAAGUGAACUCACACAUAGCUAAGCUGCAAGAGUUAUGGAAAACUCCCCAAAAUCAAACAAUCCACCUCCCUAAAUCAAUGAUGGAGGCGUCCUUUUUCAAGCAUCCAGACCUCACCACAGGCCAGAAGCGUUACCUGUGCAGCAUUGCUAAAAUCUAUAAUGCAAACUAUCUGAAGAUGUUAAUGAAGAGGCAGUACAUGCACGUACUUCAGCACAGCUCACAAAAGCCAGGCAGGUGCACCUCCAGUUGUCUUUUCACUAGUUUUUACAAUUAGUGAGAGGGUCUUUUAACAGGUGAUUUGUAUCACAGGUGUCCUCACUCAUCACAGAAGCCGCCUUAGCUCCCGUUACUCACAGAAACAGCAUUACCCUUGCACUACAUGGCGACAUCAACUGGAGAGAGAGGACUCGGGGUCUUCUGAUAUCGCAGCUGCAUCUGCACCUGAAAUGCUCAUACAGCAUUCCCUUUGGCGGCCAGUGAGAAACAAAGAAGGGUCUGUUUCUUAGUGUAAAAGGGGGGAAAUGCAUCUCAGUUUAAUUUUUUUUUUUCUCAGACAGGGUCUUGUUCUCUCACCCAGGCUGGAGUGUAGUGGUGUGAUAUAGUUUACUGUAUUCUCAAACUCCUGGGCUCAAGCAAUGCUCCUGCCUCAGACUCCCAAGUAGCUAGGGCUAAAGGCACAAACCACCAUGCCCUGCUAGUUAAAAAAAAUUGUUGGUACAGAAAGCAUCUCACUAUGUUGGCCAAGGUACUCUCACCUCCGCCUCCCAAAGCACUGGGAUUACAGGCGUGAGCUACUGUGCCCAGCCUUCCCCAUCUCUUUUGAAGGGUAGCUAAGUGAUAUUAAUGCUUGUGUUCCCUAAUAUAUUCACUUUGCUAAAUUCAGAAUAGGCUGGACUUUUAAAAAGCAGAGAUACUUUUUUUUUUUGAGACCGAGUUUCGCUCUUGUUGCCCAGGCUAAAGUGCACUGGCGCGAUCUCGGCUCACCGCAACCUCCACUUCCCGGGUUCAAGCGAUUCUCCUGCCUCAGCCUUCCUGAGUAGCUGAGAUUACGGGCAUGCGCCACCAUGCCCGGCUAAUUUUGUAUUUUUA
This 1752-nucleotide small RNA is filed under the name Pan troglodytes (chimpanzee). Its description in RNAcentral is "retained intron". Lineage: Eukaryota; Metazoa; Chordata; Mammalia; Primates; Hominidae. The record is from RNAcentral.